UGCCACAGCCAUAUAACCCUGCAGCCCAAGACUGGCUAAACAGGGCUCAGCCUGGUCAGUACCUGGAUGGGAGACGACAUGGGAAAACUAGGUUGCUGUUGGAA
Molecule: ribosomal RNA, 104 nt
Filed under: Danio rerio (zebrafish)
Lineage: Eukaryota; Metazoa; Chordata; Actinopteri; Cypriniformes; Danionidae
Source: RNAcentral